UGGUUCUGAUUGGUCGUCUUC
RNAcentral lists this non-coding RNA (21 nucleotides) under Arabidopsis thaliana (thale cress). The record is from RNAcentral. Lineage: Eukaryota; Viridiplantae; Streptophyta; Magnoliopsida; Brassicales; Brassicaceae.